RNAcentral lists this ribosomal RNA (607 nucleotides) under uncultured Bacillus sp. RNAcentral's name for it is "bacterial SSU rRNA". It matches the Rfam family "Bacterial small subunit ribosomal RNA", at positions 89 to 682 of the family's 1533-position model. The record is from RNAcentral. Lineage: Bacteria; Bacillati; Bacillota; Bacilli; Caryophanales; Bacillaceae.
GAUUUAGCGGCGGACGGGUGAGUAACACGUGGGCAACCUACCUAGUAGAUUGGGAUAACUCCGGGAAACCGGGGCUAAUACCGAAUAAUCCAUUUUGUCACAUGGCAAAAUGCUGAAAGGCGGUUUCGGCUGUCACUACUAGAUGGGCCCGCGGUGCAUUAGCUAGUUGGUGGGGUAAUGGCCUACCAAGGCAACGAUGCAUAGCCGACCUGAGAGGGUGAUCGGCCACAUUGGGACUGAGACACGGCCCAAACUCCUACGGGAGGCAGCAGUAGGGAAUCUUCCACAAUGGACGAAAGUCUGAUGGAGCAACGCCGCGUGAGUGAUGAAGGUUUUCGGAUCGUAAAACUCUGUUGUAAGGGAAGAACAAGUACGUUAGUAACUGAACGUACCUUGACGGUACCUUAUUAGAAAGCCACGGCUAACUACGUGCCAGCAGCCGCGGUAAUACGUAGGUGGCAAGCGUUGUCCGGAUUUAUUGGGCGUAAAGCGCGCGCAGGUGGUUUCUUAAGUCUGAUGUGAAAGCCCACGGCUCAACCGUGGAGGGUCAUUGGAAACUGGGAGACUUGAGUGCAGAAGAGGAAAGUGGAAUUCCAAGUGUAGCGGU